GACGAACGCUGGCGGCGUGCCUAAUACAUGCAAGUUGAGCGAUGAAGAUUGGUGCUUGCACCCAUUUGAAGAGCAGCGAACGGGUGAGUAACGCGUGGGGAAUCUGCCUUUGAGCGGGGGACAACAUUUGGAAACGAAUGCUAAUACCGCAUAAUAACUUUAAACAUAAGUUUUAAGUUUGAAAGAUGCAAUUGCAUCACUCAAAGAUGAUCCCGCGUUGUAUUAGCUAGUUGGUGAGGUAAAGGCUCACCAAGGCGAUGAUACAUAGCCGACCUGAGAGGGUGAUCGGCCACAUUGGGAGUGAGACACGGCCCAAACGCCUACGGGAGGCAGCAGUAGGGAAUCGUCGGCAAUGGACGAAAGUCUGACCGAGCAACGCCGAGUGAGUGAAGAAGGUUGUCGGAUCGGAAAACUCUGUUGGUAGAGAAGAACGUUGGUGAGAGUGGAAAGCUCAUCAAGUGACGGUAACUACCCAGAAAGGGACGGCUAACUACGUG
RNAcentral lists this ribosomal RNA (497 nucleotides) under uncultured bacterium. RNAcentral's name for it is "partial 16S ribosomal RNA". It matches the Rfam family "Bacterial small subunit ribosomal RNA", at positions 28 to 507 of the family's 1533-position model. The record is from RNAcentral.